UACGUAGGUCCCGAGCGUUGUCCGGAUUUAUUGGGCGUAAAGCGAGCGCAGGUGGUUUAUUAAGUCUGGUGUAAAAGGCAGUGGCUCAACCAUUGUAUGCAUUGGAAACUGGUAGACUUGAGUGCAGGAGAGGAGAGUGGAAUUCCAUGUGUAGCGGUGAAAUGCGUAGAUAUAUGGAGGAACACCGGUGGCGAAAGCGGCUCUCUGGCCUGUAACUGACACUGAGGCUCGAAAGCGUGGGGAGCAAACAGGAUUA
Molecule: ribosomal RNA, 256 nt
Filed under: uncultured Streptococcaceae bacterium
Lineage: Bacteria; Bacillati; Bacillota; Bacilli; Lactobacillales; Streptococcaceae
Description: partial 16S ribosomal RNA
Rfam family: Bacterial small subunit ribosomal RNA
Source: RNAcentral